UGGGGAAUAUUGGACAAUGGGCGAAAGCCUGAUCCAGCCAUGCCGCGUGUGUGAAGAAGGUCUUCGGAUUGUAAAGCACUUUAAGUUGGGAGGAAGGGCAGUAAGCGAAUACCUUGCUGUUUUGACGUUACUCGCAGAAUAAGCACCGGCUAACUCUGUGCCAGCAGCCGCGGUAAUACAGAGGGUGCGAGCGUUAAUCGGAUUUACUGGGCGUAAAGCGUGCGUAGGCGGCUAAUUGAGUCGGAUGUGAAAUCCCCGGGCUUAACUUGGGAAUUGCAUUCGAUACUGGUUAGCUAGAGUGUGGGAGAGGAUGGUAGAAUUCCAGGUGUAGCGGUGAAAUGCGUAGAGAUCUGGAGGAAUACCGAUGGCGAAGGCAGCCAUCUGGCCUAACACUGACGCUGAGGUACGAAAGCAUGGGGAGCAAACAGG
Molecule: ribosomal RNA, 429 nt
Filed under: Pseudomonadota bacterium
Lineage: Bacteria; Pseudomonadati; Pseudomonadota
Description: Proteobacteria bacterium partial 16S ribosomal RNA
Rfam family: Bacterial small subunit ribosomal RNA
Source: RNAcentral